Molecule: signal recognition particle RNA, 175 nt
Filed under: Soehngenia saccharolytica
Lineage: Bacteria; Bacillati; Bacillota; Tissierellia; Tissierellales; Tissierellaceae
Description: partial signal recognition particle sRNA large type
Rfam family: Bacterial large signal recognition particle RNA
About the family: The signal recognition particle (SRP) is a universally conserved ribonucleoprotein involved in the co-translational targeting of proteins to membranes. Archaeal SRP consists of a 7S RNA and homologues of the eukaryotic SRP19 and SRP54 proteins.
Source: RNAcentral
CCGUGCUAGAUGGGGAGGUAGCGGUGCCCUAUAACCUGCAAUCCGCUACAGCAGGAUUGAAUUCCCAGUCUAGGGAUUUCUAUUGUGAGGUCUGCCCUGAACAAGUGGCGUUGACGGUUGGGUCCUGCGCAACGGAAACUCAUGAACCUCGUCAGGUCCGGAAGGAAGCAGCGAU